GACGAACGCUGGCGGCGUGCUUAACACAUGCAAGUCGAACGGAAAGGCCCUGCUUUUGUGGGGUGCUCGAGUGGCGAACGGGUGAGUAACACGUGAGUAACCUGCCCUUGACUUUGGGAUAACUUCAGGAAACUGGGGCUAAUACCGGCUAGGAGCUCCUGCUGCAUGGUGGGGUUUGGAAAGUUUCGGCGGUUGGGGAUGGACUCGCGGCUUAUCAGCUUGUUGGUGGGGUAGUGGCUUACCAAGGCUUUGACGGGUAGCCGGCCUGAGAGGGUGACCGGCCACAUUGGGACUGAGAUACGGCCCAGACUCCUACGGGAGGCAGCAGUGGGGAAUAUUGCACAAUGGGCGGAAGCCUGAUGCAGCAACGCCGCGUGCGGGAUGACGGCCUUCGGGUUGUAAACCGCUUUCGCCUGUGACGAAGCGUGAGUGACGGUAAUGGGUAAAGAAGCACCGGCUAACUACGUG
Molecule: ribosomal RNA, 468 nt
Filed under: uncultured bacterium
Lineage: Bacteria
Description: partial 16S ribosomal RNA
Rfam family: Bacterial small subunit ribosomal RNA
Source: RNAcentral